GACGGAGGAUGCAAGUGUUAUCCGGAAUCACUGGGCGUAAAGCGUCUGUAGGUGGUUUAAAAAGUCCACUGUUAAAAAUUGAAGCUUAACUUCAAAGAUGCCGUGGAAACUUUUAAACUUGAGUAUGGUAGGGGUAGAGGGAAUUUCCAGUGGAGCGGUGAAAUGCGUAGAUAUUGGAAAGACCACCAAUGGCGAAGGCACUCUACUGGGCCAUUACUGACGCUGAGAGACGAAAGCUAGGGGAGCAAAUGGG
This 253-nucleotide ribosomal RNA is filed under the name uncultured bacterium. RNAcentral describes it as "partial 16S ribosomal RNA". It matches the Rfam family "Bacterial small subunit ribosomal RNA", at positions 524 to 776 of the family's 1533-position model. The record is from RNAcentral.